AUACGUAGGGUGCGAGCGUUGUCCGGAAUUACUGGGCGUAAAGAGCUCGUAGGUGGUUUGUCGCGUCGUCUGUGAAAUUCCGGGGCUUAACUCCGGGCGUGCAGGCGAUACGGGCAUAACUUGAGUACUGUAGGGGAGACUGGAAUUCCUGGUGUAGCGGUGAAAUGCGCAGAUAUCAGGAGGAACACCGGUGGCGAAGGCGGGUCUCUGGGCAGUAACUGACGCUGAGGAGCGAAAGCAUGGGUAGCGAACAGGAUUAGAUACCCUGGUAGUCCAUGCCGUAAACGGUGGGGGCUAGGUGUAGGGGUCUUCCACGACUUCUGUGCCGUAGCUAACGCAUUAAGCGCCCCGCCUGGGGAGUACGGCCGCAAGGCUAAAACUUAAAGGAAUUGACGGGG
This 398-nucleotide ribosomal RNA is filed under the name uncultured bacterium. Its description in RNAcentral is "partial 16S ribosomal RNA". It matches the Rfam family "Bacterial small subunit ribosomal RNA", at positions 523 to 918 of the family's 1533-position model. The record is from RNAcentral.